This 336-nucleotide unclassified non-coding RNA is filed under the name soil metagenome. Its description in RNAcentral is "partial contains 5.8S ribosomal RNA, internal transcribed spacer 2, and large subunit ribosomal RNA". The stretch from base 1 to 120 matches the Rfam family "5.8S ribosomal RNA", at positions 35 to 154 of the family's 154-position model. The record is from RNAcentral.
GAUGAAGAACGUAGUGAAAUGCGAUAAGUAGUGUGAAUUGCAGAAUUCAGUGAAUCAUCGAAUCUUUGAACGCACAUUGCGCCCCUCGGUAUUCCGUGGGGCAUGCCUGUUCGAGCGUCAUCUACACCCUCAAGCUCUGCUUGGUGUUGGGCGUCUGUCCCGCCUCUGCGCGCGGACUCGCCCCAAAUUCAUUGGCAGCGGUCUUUGCCUCCUCUCGCGCAGCACAAUUGCGUCUGCGAGGGGGCGUGGCCCGCAUCCACGAAGCAACAUUACCGUCUUUGACCUCGGAUCAGGUAGGGAUACCCGCUGAACUUAAGCAUAUCAAUAAGCGGAGGA